This 98-nucleotide transfer RNA is filed under the name Aplosporella prunicola CBS 121167. RNAcentral's name for it is "tRNA-Leu". It matches the Rfam family "tRNA". Rfam says of the family: Transfer RNA (tRNA) molecules are approximately 80 nucleotides in length. Lineage: Eukaryota; Fungi; Ascomycota; Dothideomycetes; Botryosphaeriales; Aplosporellaceae. The record is from RNAcentral.
GGCAAGGUGGCCGAGUUGGUUAUGGCGCCAGGUUAAGGUUAUCUUAACGCUAAUUCCUGGUGGGGCAACCCGCGCGAGUUCGAGUCUCGUCCUUGUCA